UAUAGAGAAUAAAGGUUUCACUGUUAUCAUUGUUCUCCAUUAAAGACUUGGGAAAAGCAUCCCUCAUCCCAGGGAUGAAGACUAUAGAGAUAGAUCUAAGAAGCAACUUGGGUUAUCCCAGUCGACGUACAUAGAAUAUUUAUGAGUAAAAUUUAUUCUAUCAUGAACACCAUGUAUGAGAUCGGAUAUGGUAUACUCACUAGGGAUAGUAAGUGGAUACCUGCA
This 225-nucleotide long non-coding RNA is filed under the name Elaeis guineensis (African oil palm). RNAcentral describes it as "long non-coding RNA (EGUI_LNC050980)". Lineage: Eukaryota; Viridiplantae; Streptophyta; Magnoliopsida; Arecales; Arecaceae. The record is from RNAcentral.